GUCGAACGAGAGAAUUGCUAGCUUGCUAAUAAUUCUCUAGUGGCGCACGGGUGAGUAACACGUGAGUAACCUGCCCCCGAGAGCGGGAUAGCCCUGGGAAACUGGGAUUAAUACCGCAUAGUAUCGAAAGAUUAAAGCAGCAAUGCGCUUGGGGAUGGGCUCGCGGCCUAUUAGUUAGUUGGUGAGGUAACGGCUCACCAAGGCGAUGACGGGUAGCCGGUCUGAGAGGAUGUCCGGCCACACUGGAACUGAGACACGGUCCAGACACCUACGGGUGGCAGCAGUCGAGAAUCAUUCACAAUGGGGGAAACCCUGAUGGUGCGACGCCGCGUGGGGGAAUGAAGGUCUUCGGAUUGUAAACCCCUGUCAUGUGGGAGCAAAUUAAAAAGAUAGUACCACAAGAGGAAGAGACGGCUAACUCUGUGCCAGCAGCCGCGGUAAUACAGAGGUCUCAAGCGUUGUUCGGAAUCACUGGGCGUAAAGCGUGCGUAGGCUGUUUCGUAAGUCGUGUGUGAAAGGCGCGGGCUCAACCCGCGGACGGCACAUGAUACUGCGAGACUAGAGUAAUGGAGGGGGAACCGGAAUUCUCGGUGUAGCAGUGAAAUGCGUAGAUAUCGAGAGGAACACUCGUGGCGAAGGCGGGUUCCUGGACAUUAACUGACGCUGAGGCACGAAGGCCAGGGGAGCGAAAGGGAUUAGAUACCCCUGUAGUCCUGGCAGUAAACGGUGCACGCUUGGUGUGCGGGGAAUCGACCCCCUGCGUGCCGGAGCUAACGCGUUAAGCGUGCCGCCUGGGGAGUACGGUCGCAAGAUUAAAACUCAAAGAAAUUGACGGGGACCCGCACAAGCGGUGGAGUAUGUGGCUUAAUUCGAUGCAACGCGAAGAACCUUACCUGGGCUUGACAUGUAAUGAACAACAUGUGAAAGCAUGCGACUCUUCGGAGGCGUUACACAGGUGCUGCAUGGCCGUCGUCAGCUCGUGUCGUGAGAUGUUUGGUUAAGUCCAGCAACGAGCGCAACCCCUGUUGCCAGUUACCAGCACGUGAAGGUGGGGACUCUGGCGAGACUGCCCAGAUCAACUGGGAGGAAGGUGGGGACGACGUCAGGUCAGUAUGGCCCUUAUGCCCAGGGCUGCACACGUACUACAAUGCCCAGUACAGAGGGGGCCGAAGCCGCGAGGCGGAGGAAAUCCUAAAAACUGGGCCCAGUUCGGACUGUAGGCUGCAACCCGCCUACACGAAGCCGGAAUCGCUAGUAAUGGCGCAUCAGCUACGGCGCCGUGAAUACGUUCCCGGGUCUUGUACACACCGCCCGUCACAUCAUGGAAGCCGGUCGCACCCGAAGUAUCUGAAGCCAACCGCAAGGAGGCAGGGUC
Molecule: ribosomal RNA, 1375 nt
Filed under: Akkermansia muciniphila
Lineage: Bacteria; Pseudomonadati; Verrucomicrobiota; Verrucomicrobiia; Verrucomicrobiales; Akkermansiaceae
Description: bacterial SSU rRNA
Rfam family: Bacterial small subunit ribosomal RNA
Source: RNAcentral